This is an RNA transcript of Callithrix jacchus (white-tufted-ear marmoset), 7994 nucleotides long. RefSeq lists it as uncharacterized. Lineage: Eukaryota; Metazoa; Chordata; Mammalia; Primates; Cebidae. The record is from RefSeq and is a predicted model, not a curated record.
AUUUCAGUCGCAGAGACAUGGCUUAUUUUCUGAGGCGGGGACUCGGCGAUAUCUCCCACUGAAUUCCGCAGGAGGAAGGAGGCCCACCUUGUGCCUGGGUCUUACUGGAGGGCAAGAUUGUCCCUGCAGGUUCCCUUAGGAGCCUGGAUCAUGUGGGAUCAGAAGUUCAUUUCUAUUUAAACAACUGAACUCUAGGGCUCCUCAUAGAUCCCUUGGUGUGUCAUAGUUCAGAAACCCCUUUCAAUGCUUCAACCCAUCAGACUUGGAGUUACUCAAAGAGAAUGAUGGAAAUUAACAGGAUCCUGCACCCACCCAGAGCUCCUGUGCUCAUCCAGAGCUCCUUCUGCCCCACCCAGAGCUCCUGUGCUCAUCCAGAGCUCCUUCUGCACCACCUAGAGCUCCUGCCCCACCCAGAGCUCCUCCUGCACCACCCAGACCUCCUGCACCACCCAGAGUUCCUGCCCCACCCAGAGCUCCUCCUGCACCACCCAGAGCUCCUUCUGCACCCACCCAGAGCUCCUGCACCACCCAGAGGUCCUCCUAAACCCACCCAGAGCUCCUCCUGCCCCACCCAGAGCUCCUGUGCUCACCCAGAGCUCCUCCUGCCCCACCCAGAGCUCCUUCUGCUCCACCCAGAGCUCCUCCUGACCCACCCAGAGCUCCUCCUGCAUCACCCAGAGCUCCUGCGCUCACCCAGAGCUCCUCCUGCACCACCCAGAGCUCCUCCUGCCCCAUCCAGAGCUCCUGCACCCACCCAGAGCUCCUCCUGCCCUACCCAGAGCUCCUCCUGCCCCACCCAGAGCUCCUGCAUCCACUCAGAGGUCCCCCUGCCCCACCCAGAGCUCCUCCUGCCCCACCCAGAGCUGCUCCUGCACCCACCCAGCAGUCCUCCUGCACCACCCAGAGCUCCUGCACCCACCCAGAGCUCCUCCUGCCCCAUCCAGAGCUCCUGCACUCACCCAGAGCUCCUCCUGCCCCAUCCAGAGCUCCUCACCCACCCAGAGCUCCUGCAGCAGCUUUCUAUCAGAACAGCAGCAGCACAGUGGCAGCCAUGGUUACAGGAUGUUGCUCCCUCGCGGGGUCUGUUCCACACUUUACAUGGGUGUCACCUCCCUUGUCCCCAGGAGGUGACACACUUCACAGAGGGGGAGACUGAGGCAGGAGAAGUGACCCAGAAGAACUGGCGGCUGGAGCCAGCUCCAGGCAGCCUGAUGGGGCCAGGUCAUACCCCCGACACCGACACCAAGCCCCACUCCAAGUCCCUUUCCUCACUGAGAUUCCUGAAAGCUGAAAUGUCCUCAGCUACAUGGUGGCACAGUCACACCUGGCAUACUCCAUGAAUAUGAAAUUUUUACCUGGCAAAGUUCAUGAGGUACAGGUGGGAAACCCUAAUUUUCAACCUUGGAACUGUGGUCCAGCUAGGGGCGUGGACGCUGAUGAGCAGAGCUCAGAGGUGUGUCUGUCAGGAGAAACUCUCCUGCUGGGGCAGCAGGAGGAAGUCGGCUUGUUUCCAGCGUCAGAUGGGUGCAUCUGCGCACCCAUCAGGGACCUGCCUUCUGAACACCGUGCCCCCCUUCUGCUCAGGUGCCUGUCUCUCCCUGGUGGGCAUCAGGUGCCCUGGAGUGGUGAGGCCUGGGAGGCUGCCAGGAGCACUGUGUCUGAUGCCCCCAGCCCAGGCCCACCCGUCCCUGGUGCUCUGUGGAGUGGAAGAACGAAUGACAGGCGCGAGGGCAGCCAUGCUCCUGAGACAGCGAACGUGGAGCCAAGCCCACACUGGUGGGGGCUGCCACUCAGGCAGCUAGAGCAUUCUGGCAUCACAUUUUCCAUGAUCACUUAGGGCAGCCACCGAGCAUCCAGCCCAACUCAGGUUCCCCUUUUGUCUGAGCCAAUGGCCUCAAGCUACUCUGUAUGGGGAAGAAAAAGCAGUGUCUUCUUUCCUGCCCUUCUGGGUUCUUAGUAGGGGUGGACUCCUGUUUAAAAAAGAGAUUCACAAGAGAAAAACAAGCAAAGUGGAUUCACAUGUGCGCUGCACCCUCCCCCUGCCCCACCCACGUACCUGAGCCAUACCCAGAGAAAUGGGCCAGUCUCAAAGAUGUGUGUGGACCAGCCUUCAGCACAUCACCUGCUGGGACAGAGCAGUAAGAGCAAUGGGGAGGGGGAGGGUCUGGCUGUGUCCCCGCCCAAAUCUCACCUUACACUGUAGCUCCCACAAUUCCCAUGUGUCUUGGGAGGACCUUGGUGGGAGGCCAUUGAGUCAUGGGGUUGGCGUGUUCUGGUCUCUGAGAGUCAUUUUUGGGGUGGUGUGUUCUGGUGUCUGAGAAUCGUUUUUGGGGUGGCAUGUUCUGGUCUCUGAGAGUCAUUUUUGGGGUGGCGUGUUCUGGUCUUUGAGAGUUUUUGGGGUGGGGUGUUCUGGUCUCUGAGAGUCGUUUUUGGGGUGGCGUGUUCUGGUCUCAGAGUUGUUUUUGGGGUGGUGUGUUCUGGUCUCUGAGAGUUGUUUUUGGGGUGGCACGUUCUGGUCUCUGACAGUCGUUUUUGGGGUGGCAUGUUCUGGUCUCUGAGAGUUGUUUUUGGGGUGGCGUGUUCUGGUCUCUGAGAAUCGUUUUGGGGGUGGCAUGUUCUGGUCUCUGAGAGUCAUUUUUGGGGUGUAUGUUCUGGUCUCCCAGAGUCGUUUUUGGGGUGGCAUAUUCUGGUCUCCAAAAAUCAUUUUUGGGGUGUAUAUUCUGGUCUCCAAGAGUCAUUUUUGGGGUGGUGUGCUCCGGUCUCCCACGUGAGAAACUGAUGGAGAGUGGAGGGCCCUAGACACUGGGCCCGGCAGCUCUAACGAAGUUCACAGGCACGAACUUUACCUUCGCUUUUAUUUCUGUGAAACAAAGGAUCUGUUAAAAGUCUAAUUAAGGUUCUGUGUGUGCAAACCCUUUUCCUGAAGUGCCACUCUAUUUUUUUUAAUGAGAGCAUAAACCAAAAAGAAAAUCCUUAGAAGUAACUUUCUUCUGUUGACAAGCACUUGGACUCAACGUUCCGUGAACACAGCAAAUCCUCUCCUUUCUCGUAGGCAGAGACGUGUCCUGGCCCUGAGGUUACAGGGGCUUGGCAUCAGACGUCUGGCGUGUGCUGAGGGGGUGUGGCCGUGUUGACCACUUCCCAACGAUAGCAGUGGAUCCAGCUUCAAAGGAAAUAAAUCUAUGCCAUUUCCUGCACCAUGCCAAGCAGUAAGUUAACAAGUGAAAAAUUCUACCAAGGCCAUCAGGGUGAAUGAAUGAAUGAAUAAAUACAUGAAUACAAUUGAGCGUGAAUUUUAGAAGCACAGUGGGAUACUUUUGUCCAAAAACCUGUCAGAUCCACAGUUCAGUCUGAGCCAUCCAGCCAUAGCAAUAAAGUUAAAAUUACCACGUGGUACAGAUGUGUCCCCAUCAAUGAUGCUCAGCAUGGAGAUGGCCGACUUGCCCCAGAGCUGGAGGAGGACGUGGCCGCAUCUGCCCACGACUGGGUCCCUAGGGAGAUUUCGCAGGGAGGGUGUGCAGGGUCCUCCUUCUGCCAAUGGCACAUGAUGACUGAGACUCACCUCUCAGGAGCCGCUGGCACCCCCUCUAGCAUGGGGAUCCUAAAAAAUUCUUGAUGCUGAAGCAACGUCAGUCGUGUUGCAAUUGUACUUCUUUGGCAAAGGGCUGUCUUUUCCUUCAUGACAGAUUUCCCUACGGAAGCCUUUUCAUUUUGGUACCGGCAGGUACAGUAAUGAGUCUAUUUUAGAAAUGUCAGUGGCGUUUUAUGAUGCGGCCAUACCAGAGGCCCAGUGGUGAAGCUGCUGGUUUACAGUUCGUCUCUAAGUGAAUGCAAACAAAUCUGGUCCUCGGAGCCCUGCUAAUACACAAUGUUCAAUUUUUAAUUUCCAGUCCAUCUUAGAUUACGGGGAUGAAAAACAACAUUUAAUCCCUCGUUAGCACAUGAAUAAGCGGAAGCUGUCAUUUUCAACCACACAAUAACGGGAUUAUCUCAAGAACUGUCAGUUUAUGUGGAAACAUUAUGUUGCCCAAAUUUUCAUAAAAAUUAGCAGUGGAUAAUAUUCGAGAUCAGAGCGAUGGAAAGAGAAAAAUAUGCAUUCAUGGUAAUAAAUAUUCAUAUUUGUCUGCUCGGGAGAUGAAAAUCUAAUCAAGGGGCUAUUGAAGCUCUGGCUUUUAUUUUUUUAACCAAGACGUUUCAUCUAAAUUGGGUUUGAUAUGGAAAUCAGUCUCACUCAAAGUCCUCCAGGCCACGAGCUCGCCGGGCUCACGCGGGGCGGGUGGCCACUUCGUCACAUGUUGCUCCUGGCAUGUGCCACCCGAGAGCAGCCUGGGUUCAUCCUGUGGCUCUCCAGUUGGUGUCUCCAAGUUUAACACCACGGAGUGCUGGGAGCUCCCUCCCUUUUUAAAGGAAAAAACAAUAUGAUUUCAUGCCGGUUAACUCCCGGCUGCUAUAGGGUUAAAAUCAUCUGUGUUUUUGCUUUUGUUGACAAUUACCAUAAAUCAGAAGACACUCUGCAUGGCGCUUAAUGAAAUAUGUAUGAUUGUAAAAAGAAAAGAUGGGAGCUGCAGGAUGUUGCUCUGUGUGCGUGUGUGCACGUGUGCGUGCGUGCACAUGUGUGUGUCGGGCGUGCGUGUUAGGGCGUGUGUUCCUGCUGUUCUCACAGAGGCCGUCCUUUCCCUACACAUGGGCAGGCUUGAAAACACGGAAUCCAGGAGCUCCUCAGUUAGUAAGCGUGGGUAUGGGGUCAUCACACUGAUGCUUCCAGCCCCUUCCCAGUGUCCUAGGGUUGCCACUCUUGAGCACUGGCAGGGUCAGCAUGGGGCUCCCUGGUGAGUGAGGUCUCCUGUGCACACAGGCCACCAGGAGGGUCACCUUUUCUAGCUUACACUUAUAAAUUCCUGGAAAGCAAGACCAAGAUGGGCUCAUCUGAGCCUUCAGAGGGAAUGCGGGCAGGCCCUUCAGCGUAACAGAACCGGAACUCGGCCAAGUAGCCUUCUUUCUGCAUUGAAAUGCUUCCUACUGACAUAAAUGGGAUUUUCCUUGGGGUGCUGUUAAUUAUGUCAGAGGAUAGAGUGUUCAUAUUCACCACAUUUUAAAACCACACCCCCAUAGUUCCUGUUCCUCUUCUUCCCGGUCAAGCAGAGCUGAUCAUGGGACAAUUUGAUUAUUUUGGCGAAGGCCCUGGAGUACAUGGUUUCUGACGCGGACGUCUCUGGCACACGCCCUCCUCUCCUGUCUCUGCUGCUCCUGACUGCACAGGGCCCGUUCAUGAGACCCAGCUCUGAGGCCCACAGGGAGGGUCGGCCCUUCCUCAGCACACUGUUAGGGACACCUUCUGCCCUACCCACCAAGACCCAGGGUCCAGAGACAUGGCCUUCCUCUGUGUGAUGUGGGUGGGGUGCACGGAGGGGAGGAGAGAGGACCCCAAGGAAACCUGGUGCCACACUAAGACCUGGGGUUCCCCAGGAAACCCUGGUGUCUCACUCAGACCUGGGGCCCCCAGGAAACCCUGGGCCUGCACUCAGACCUGGGACCCCUCAGGAAACCCUCGUGUCUCACUCAGACCUGGGGCCCCCCGAGGAAACCCUGGGCCUGCACUCCAACCUGGGGCCCCUCAGGAAACCGUGGUGUCUCACUCAGACCUGGGCCCCCCCCGCCCGAGGAAACCCUGGGGCUACACUCAGAUCUCAGGUCCCUCCAGGGACUGUGGCAUCCUACAUCUUCCUCUUCGGGUAAAGGUGAGUGAGACCUCCCAGGGCAGUGAGGCCUGUUUCAGAACAUCCUCCUCCUGGAGGCUGCCAAGAUGCCUGUUCCUAGAGCUUCUGGCAACUCCCAGAGGCUCCCCCCUCCCACGACACCAUGCUGGCACUGUCCCCAAGUGGCCACUGACAACCUCCCAGCAGCUGUUCGGACAUUCCCUCUUAGAAAGUCCUCAGCCCUGGGGUGUGGGGGCCGUGUGAGGCCCCUUAGAGCACCACUCCCUCUGCCCCCGAGCCAUCCUCACUCCUGGGGGGCCGUGUGGCCUCUCCCAGCCCCACUCAUGAGUCGCUGGUCUUCCCGAGGCCACCCCGGGGACAUGGUAGGUGCUGAUCGCCCAUCCGCCUGGCUUGGCGUCUGCACGUCUUCCUGGGAGAAACAUCUUCUAGGGCCCUUUGCCCAUGUGAGGAGCUGCCAAGGAAAUGGAUUGUUUGUGGUGGUGUUAGUAUCUAACUGUGAUGUUUUUCUAAGGAAAGGGAUAAUUUGCAUAGGAAAAAAUUCGUGAGGCUUUAGACACACCCACCCAUCCUGUCUCCAGGCUCUGUCCUGGGACCCCUGCUGGUUCAUUCAGUCUCCAUGCGGGGAGUUCCCUUCCAGAAGAGUGGCCCGUCACCUCCGCCUCACCUCGGGGCCAGCAGAAAUAGCAGGGGUUGGUUCCCAACCAGAGACCAAGAAUGAAACAGGGCUUGGAUGAGCGCCCCAGCACCCAGUCCACGGCCCAGGGCGUUGAGCCUCUCAGAGAGGACCACAGUGUUGGCCAGGAUUCAUGAAUUCUGACAGCAUCCGAGGAGCUGCAGCCUCCCCAGACCGAGACCGCCAGGAAAACGAGGCUGCUGCAGUGGCUGCUGCCAAGGCCGAGCUGCCCUGCUGACCCUCUGCAGCCCGUGCCCACCAGGGUGGGGCUCAGCCCCUUCUGACCCUAGGCCUGAGGUGCUGCCAUCGUUGCGGCCACCAGGGGUCACACGUGCUCGCCUCUGGCACAGGCCACGCCCGUGAUCAGGGCUGCACCCCCAGGAGGUGCCAGGUUGUGGGAUGUAGAGGAUGCAGGUGGGGGUGUGAAGAAGAGCUGGAGAGAGGCCUCGGAAGUGCCUGGAAGCAUCUGCCUUCGGAAUCACCCUGUCUGCUGGAAUUGAGACCAGUAAAGGCCCCGGGGAAGGGGUGCCAGUGAUGACUCAUUUUCUAAUAUUGGGUCUGAAUUGCAGCUUCCGCUGCCACCGCUUCAGAAAGAUGCCAUUGGGCCCGGAGCAAGGCUAUCAGAAACUGCUGAUAGGGUUCCUCCUGCCGUGAAUACGGUGGCUGAUGGGAGGAAGCCCUCGUGCGCUCCCUUGGCGCCCACGGAAUGCCUGGAAACUCUCCAGGUUUCUCUUGUUUGAAGAACGAGCCCCCGAGAGGCUUCCCGGACAGUACAGUCUGGACCAUGUCCAAGCCCUUUAGGAAAACUCUGCAGCAAAAUUCAGCGUUUCCAAAAUAGUGAUGUCAGGGUGACCCGUGACACAGCCUGGGCUCUUCCUCCCAGGACAGUUCCCACACGGGUGCCAGACCAUGCAGCCCCCAGGGCGUCUGUUUGCCGUGUGUGAGCACGAGUGUGCAUGUGUGUCUGCGUGUGUGUGAGCACGAAUGCUUGUGUGUCUGCAUGUGUGUGAUAACAUGUGUGGGUGUCUGCGUGUCUGUGCAUGAGCACGAGCGUGCAUGUGUCUGCGUGUGUGUGCACUAGUGUGUGUGUCUGCAUGUCUGUGUGCAUGAACAUGAGUGUGCUUGUGUGCGUGUGUCUGUGUGCAUGAGCACUUAUGUGUCUGCAUGUGUGUGUGCUUGAGCAUACGUGUGUGUGUGUCUGCCUGUGUCUGUGUGUGCACUAGUGUGCAUGUGUCUGCAUGGGUCUGUGUACGUGAGAACGAGUGUGUGUCUGCAUGUGUCCGUGCGUGCGUAUGCACGGUGUGUCUGCCUCUGCAUGUUUGUGCAUGUGCCUGGGUUACUCUGCUACCUGCCAGCAAACCCCAGCCCUGCCUUGUGCUGCUGGGUGGCACAGCCUUCUCUGUCCCCCUCCACUUCUUCCCAGACCCUGGAGCUGUCUGUGGAGCAAGUAGGAAGUUCCCCUACUGGUGAGAGGCCGUGCAGGGGACCCUGAAGCUUUGCUGAAAUGAAAGUUCUAGUUAAGGGAAAUAGGAGCUUCCUUGUGAACAUGGUUGGUAGGAGGAGGGCACCGUGGCUGGGGCCACCUCGACAAGCAGAGGCAGGAU